Molecule: transfer-messenger RNA, 414 nt
Filed under: Gammaproteobacteria (g-proteobacteria)
Lineage: Bacteria; Pseudomonadati; Pseudomonadota
Also listed under: 1 other name
Description: 2-12-FULL-35-23 sp001801465 Standard tmRNA
Rfam family: transfer-messenger RNA
About the family: Bacterial tmRNA, also known as 10Sa RNA or SsrA, is named for its dual tRNA and mRNA-like properties. Its role is to liberate the mRNA from a stalled ribosome.
Source: RNAcentral
GGGGGCGUCAUGGCUUCGACGUGGAUUGCAAAACCUGAUGUGCAUGCCGAGGAUAUAGCUAACCUCGUUAAUAAUGCUAUAAACAGAUAGUUGCAAACGACAACAUCUUUGCUGCUAACGACGAAGUAAAAGCUGCUGCCUAAUCGGCAGUUUCAAUAGCCUAGUCGUUGUGUCGUCCUAAAAACACGACCCAGCCCAGUCUCUAUAUGCGCUUGUGCAUAUAAAAGAUUGGUCAUAAUUUACAAGCUCGUAGCUUAAAAUGUCUGAAGUUAAGCUACUAAAACGCAUCAGACUCACAGUAUAGUUAUCCUGUUGGUCGGAGAGCUUACUGUUAAUUCAAUAGACCUUACUAAGCAUGUAGAGCAAAAGGCGGAGGGUUUGCGGACGCGGGUUCAACUCCCGCCGCCUCCACCA